This 230-nucleotide long non-coding RNA is filed under the name Lathyrus oleraceus (garden pea). RNAcentral describes it as "Pisum sativum (pea) long non-coding RNA (PSAT_LNC006279)". The record is from RNAcentral. Lineage: Eukaryota; Viridiplantae; Streptophyta; Magnoliopsida; Fabales; Fabaceae.
GCAAAAUGGCCAGGUGAGAGGGUGAGCCUUUGUGUGGUUGCAAUUGGUUAUGCUGCUAUGUUGGCAAAAUUUUGAAAUGAUGAGAAAUAGAGAUGAACAAAAAUUGUCAUGGUUGGCAAGGCCAGUUAGGUUAGCUUGGACAGAAAAAAAAGCAAGGUGGUGGAGGGUUUUUGCUUGUCUGCUCUAUGAUGUUUUAUAUCAUUCUCCUUUUGACAGAGAAAACAAAUGCC